CCCUUCCUCUUAUUCUCAGCUGAAACACGUUCAUCUCCCAUAAUUUGGGAUUUCUGAAUUGCAGUGGUCCACUCGUCUAGCACAUCAUCCAUAUCGUAGGAAAUGUUUUUGAGCUUCUGCAUCCAGAGUUUGAUCGCAUCAUCCUUCACUUGUCUAUCCUCGGCAUCCACCAGCACGGUCUUGAUGAACUGAAAUUUGGUAGUCAGCAUUUGAACUUCAUUCUUGACACCCACAACGAGCCUCACCUCUUGUUCUAUCUCACUCUCACGAGCAACGAUUGAAAUUAGUUCUUCCAAGACUUUGGAAACAAGAACGUCAGCCAUAGUUGAAAGGUAGUAGGCAAUUGAU
Molecule: unclassified non-coding RNA, 348 nt
Filed under: Hevea brasiliensis (rubber tree)
Lineage: Eukaryota; Viridiplantae; Streptophyta; Magnoliopsida; Malpighiales; Euphorbiaceae
Source: RNAcentral